CUGAAGAAGACGAAGAAGAGGAAGAAGAGGAAGAAGUCGAAGCUGUUC
This 48-nucleotide small RNA is filed under the name Arabidopsis thaliana (thale cress). Its description in RNAcentral is "ATSL292300". Lineage: Eukaryota; Viridiplantae; Streptophyta; Magnoliopsida; Brassicales; Brassicaceae. The record is from RNAcentral.